AACACAUGCAAGUCGAACGGGCGUAGCAAUACGUCAGUGGCAGACGGGUGAGUAACACGUGGGAACGUACCUCUUGGUUCGGAACAACACAGGGAAACUUGUGCUAAUACCGGAUAAGCCCUUACGGGGAAAGAUUUAUCGCCGAGAGAUCGGCCCGCGUCUGAUUAGCUAGUUGGUAGGGUAAUGGCCUACCAUGGCGACGAUCAGUAGCUGGUCUGAGAGGAUGAUCAGCCACAUUGGGACUGAGACACGGCCCAAACUCCUACGGGAGGCAGCAGUGGGGAAUAUUGGACAAUGGGGGCAACCCUGGUCCAGCCAUGCCGCGUGAGUGAUGAAGGCCCUAGGGUUGUAAAGCUCUUUUGUGCGGGAAGAUAAUGACGGUACCGCAAGAAUAAGCCCCGGCUAACUUCGUGCCAGCAGCCGCGGUAAUAC
Molecule: ribosomal RNA, 432 nt
Filed under: uncultured soil bacterium
Lineage: Bacteria
Description: bacterial SSU rRNA
Rfam family: Bacterial small subunit ribosomal RNA
Source: RNAcentral